GCCCUGGUUGCUCAGUGGUUAAGCAUUCAGCUGCUAACCAAAAGAUUGGUGGUUCAAACCCACCCAGAAGCU
This 72-nucleotide transfer RNA is filed under the name Loxodonta africana (African savanna elephant). It matches the Rfam family "tRNA". Rfam says of the family: Transfer RNA (tRNA) molecules are approximately 80 nucleotides in length. Their secondary structure includes four short double-helical elements and three loops (D, anti-codon, and T loops). Further hydrogen bonds mediate the characteristic L-shaped molecular structure. tRNAs have two regions of fundamental functional importance: the anti-codon, which is responsible for specific mRNA codon recognition, and the 3' end, to which the tRNAs corresponding amino acid is attached (by aminoacyl-tRNA synthetases). tRNAs cope with the degeneracy of the genetic code in two manners: having more than one tRNA (with a specific anti-codon) for a particular amino acid; and 'wobble' base-pairing, i.e. permitting non-standard base-pairing at the 3rd anti-codon position. The record is from Rfam by way of RNAcentral. Lineage: Eukaryota; Metazoa; Chordata; Mammalia; Proboscidea; Elephantidae.